Non-coding RNA from Cyanistes caeruleus (blue tit), 1012 nucleotides. The record is from RefSeq and is a predicted model, not a curated record. NCBI's taxonomy places the organism in Eukaryota, Metazoa, Chordata, Aves, Passeriformes, Paridae.
CCUGACUUUUUAUUUUCUUUUAUUUUUUCCAUAUUAAAUGAGGAUAGAAGUUAUCCUCGCUGCGAGCAGCAGCAAAGAGGUGACCUCCUCUCCAACCACCGUAAGGGGAGGAGGACACACCUGACUUUUUAUUUUCUUUUAUUUUUUCCAUAUUAAAUGAGGAUAGAAGUUAUCCUCGCUGCAAGCAGCAGCAAAGAGGUGUCCUCCUCCCCGACCACCAUAAGGGGAGCAGGACAGAUCCUGCUUUUGGUUUCUUUUUUUUUCCUCCACAGAAAAUGAGGACAGAAAUUAUCCUCACUGCAAAGCAGAAACAACAAAGGGUGCGGAGGCCCCAACAGAGAUUACUCCGCUCCAUGGAGCCCUCCCUCAACCUUCACCAAGGUUGAGGCUGGAGACAAUCCAACCCCUCCAUCACAGAGGAGUUGGAACGGUGGAUGCAGAGGCCUCAACUCCUCCGCUCCACCUACCUUACUCUACCUUAACCUACUCUACCUUAACCUACUCUACCUUAACCUACUCUACCUUAACCUACUCUACCUUAACCUACUCUACCUUAUCCUACACUACCUUACCCUACUCUACCCCAGAACCACACCAAAUUUAUCCCCUGUCCCCCUCCCCACACCACAUUAGGGGAGGAGGACAGAUAUGACUUUCCUCUCUUAUAAUAGUUAUAUAUAUAUAUAUAUAUAUAAGUAUUUAGAUAAUAAUUAUAUAUCAUUAAGUUAAUGAGGAUAUCCUCAAAAUUUGGAAAUUAUCCACAUAGACAUCAGUUCCUCCAGGCCUCAACAAGGUUGAGGCUGGAGACAAUCCAACCCCUCCAUCACGGAGGAGUUGGAACGGUGGAUGCGGAGACCUCAACUCCUCCGCUCCACCAAUCCUACUCUACCUUACCCUACUCUACGUUAUCCUACUCUACGUUAUCCUACUCUACGAUGUCCUACUCUACUCCAGAACCCCGCCAAAUUUAUGUCAGACUUAUCCUGUCCCCCUCCCCACCCCACAUAAGGGG